RNAcentral lists this ribosomal RNA (550 nucleotides) under uncultured bacterium. RNAcentral describes it as "partial 16S ribosomal RNA". It matches the Rfam family "Bacterial small subunit ribosomal RNA", at positions 355 to 891 of the family's 1533-position model. The record is from RNAcentral.
UGGGGAAUUUUGGACAAUGGGCGAAAGCCUGAUCCAGCAAUGCCGCGUGUGUGAAGAAGGCCUUCGGGUUGUAAAGCACUUUUGUCCGGAAAGAAAUGGCUCUGGUUAAUACCUGGGGUCGAUGACGGUACCGGAAGAAUAAGGACCGGCUAACUACGUGCCAGCAGCCGCGGUAAUACGUAGGGUCCAAGCGUUAAUCGGAAUUACUGGGCGUAAAGCGUGCGCAGGCGGUUGUGCAAGGCCGAUGUGAAAUCCCCGAGCUUAACUUGGGAAUUGCAUUGGUGACUGCACGGCUAGAGUGUGUCAGAGGGGGGUAGAAUUCCACGUGUAGCAGUGAAAUGCGUAGAGAUGUGGAGGAAUACCGAUGGCGAAGGCAGCCCCCUGGGAUAACACUGACGCUCCAUGCACGAAAGCGUGGGGAGCAAACAGGAUUAGAUAGCCCUGGUAGUCCACGCCCUAAAACCGAUGUGCAACCUAGUUGUUGGGGAUUCAUUUCCUUAGUAACGUUAGCUAACGCGUGAAGUUGACCGCCUGGGGAGUACGGUCGCAA